ACAAAGCAAAUGGAGUUAAAAAAUAAUCUGUUUGAUCAGAUGUGCACAUAUAUAUGUUAAUUCCCACAGUGAAGUACAGGUAAGUGCAUAAUUUUAAAGAAAGAUGGAGGGUAAAAUUGCCUUUCUUUAAUUUCAGGUAAAGCAAGCAAACAAUACAACAAGGUUAGUUUAGCCCUGGUUACCAAAAACCAGUCUUAAGUGACAAGACUGGAAGAGUGUAUGUAAGAACGUGUCAAAGAGCCCUGCAGUUUCAUAAAACCUUUUAUAGUAUUUUAAAUAAUAUUAUUUUUAAAGGAGUCAUGGUGUCACGGACAGAAGGAGACAACAGAGCUAAUACAGUUCACAAAGGUUUAUUAUUGCAGGUGGCAGAGAUGGGGAGAAUAAACAGGUUAGUAGAUUGAAUGAUGACAGGUUGAAUGAACUUAGCUGGAUGAUAACAGUCUCUUUGUAUUUGUAGAUGAUGGUGAGCGGAUUGGUCUGGACUGAAGACAAAGGACGAUGAAGGUGAGGGAUCUCAAUUGUGAGACGAACAGAUGGACAAUCUGUCUGACCAAGAUGUGUAUCAAAAGAGGUCAAGGGCAGUUGGGGUAAGUGUCCCAGACAGAAUCAACUUAAGUUUUUUAAGAAUAGCAGACAUAUUUUUGUGGGUAGAUUUAUUCAGGAGAAGAUGAUUACAGCAUUGGGAUCCACUUGGAUAAAAUGAAAACCAAAUGCUUGGAGAUCACCAAAUCCUUUUAGAGGACUAAAUGACACGGACAAAGAGUGAGAGGACAGACUAUAUGAAACAUCACUCCACAAAGGAUGAUAUUAUCAUGAUAUCCAGCCCUUAAUGUCCCCUCAGUUGAACCACGUACACCCAACCCUGUGCUGUAUAUACUGUAAAUGGAUGUGCCUUGUGUAACAGGUGCGCUUCUCCUUUAAGUGAUGCGAGGUCACAGUAUGACCUAAUUUCCUGUCCUGUCUCCUCCUCUUCCCUUUUGAACUGUGAUUCAAUGGAAGAGAGUGUUAUAUGGGCCACUCGAUCUGAGGCUGCUUAUUUGUCUCUGUUAAACAGUAAAAAGAUCCAGUGAAUCGACUGCUUGCUGUCCCGUGUCUGUUUCUGCAUCCACACAACGUAACACAACGCAGACCAAGUUUUAAUACCCAGUGUCGCUGGCCGCACAUCACGCUGGGCAUAAGCGAGCCACACGGGUUACACUUGGAUGCAGUCUGUUUUAGAAAUAAUGAUGCAAGGGGAGAAGGUCUAUGAAGUAGACGAUAUGACCAGGUCAUAUGACAAUGUACUUCAUCUUCAACCUUGAAUAUGGUUCAAGGCCGAGAAACACUCUAACAUUAUUUGAAAAAUAAAAAUGUCCUGUUUAAUGUCCUGUUUAAACAUUAUCUUAAAAAAUAUAUAUAAAUUAAAAAUUAAAUGAUUAAAAAUAAUAUAAAAAUGAUAGAUAUUCAGCUACAUUCUGUUAAAGGUUGAUGGAAAUGUAUAGAUUAAUGAAUGAAUUUUUUUAUUUGAUUGUUUAUUUAUUUAUUUAUUUGAAUGAUAAAAAACAAUAUUCCUUUUUUCUCUGUCCAUUGGUGCCUGU
This is a long non-coding RNA of Megalobrama amblycephala (Wuchang bream), 1577 nucleotides long. RefSeq lists it as uncharacterized. The record is from RefSeq and is a predicted model, not a curated record. The transcript has 6 exons. NCBI's taxonomy places the organism in Eukaryota, Metazoa, Chordata, Actinopteri, Cypriniformes, Xenocyprididae.